Pseudoliparis swirei is the source of this 4706-nucleotide RNA transcript. It is a transcript of the gene named putative tRNA (cytidine(32)/guanosine(34)-2'-O)-methyltransferase 1, with no coding region annotated. The transcript is spliced from 6 exons. Lineage: Eukaryota; Metazoa; Chordata; Actinopteri; Perciformes; Liparidae. The record is from RefSeq and is a predicted model, not a curated record.
AGCGGCUCGUUGCCGGUUUUAUGUCUUAUUCGCUAUUUUAUUACAUUUUGUGAUUCAUACGAAGAUGUUUAUAUUCAACCUGGAGACGUGAACAUAUCUAACGUUGCGCAACACGCGCAGCGGCCACGCGCCGUCUGUUGUCCACGCGCCGCCAUACGCGUUGAACGUGGUUUAAAUCAUGUUACACAACAACAACAACAAGGAUGUGUGCUUCAUGACAUGUUGGGGUCAGUGAGGCGGCUGCGGAAUUUAGCUCGAGCCAAAUAAACCAAACGACAGUAAUCUGGACUUCAUCAGAGAGAGAGAGAGAGAUGAUUAGAUUUUGGGAUCAAUCGGGUCAAAGGUCAAGGACAGGUCAACAUCUUCUUUUUACUAUAGCGCGGUCAAUUUGUAUCCAAUUGGCAUGAAACUAAUGCCAAAAUGUUCAUAAUUCAAUGCCCAAUCUUGUGAUAUGCGAAGGUCAGAGGUCAGCAUGGGUCGGUCCUCCAAAGACAAGCGGGACAUCUACUACCGUCUGGCCAAAGAAGAAGGCUGGAGGGCGAGACAGGUGUCCACAGAGCUGUGGAUCUGUGUGCAGCUCCUGGCAGCUGGAGUCAGGUCCUCAGUCGGAAGCUCAGAGGUCCGGAGCAGAAGGCCGGCGGGGCUGAGGAGGAGGAGGAGGAGGUGAAGAUCAUGGCGGUGGACCUGCAGGCCAUGGCUCCUCUAGCAGGAGUCACUCAGAUCCAGGGAGACAUCACCAAGGUGAGGACGGUCUGGGGGGCUCAGGGUCCAUGUGGUCUAUGUGGGUAUGUGGUCUCAGGGUCUAUGUGGUCUCAGGGUCUAUGUGGUCUCAGGGUCCAUGUGGUCUCAGGGUCCAUGUGGUCUAUGUGGUCCAUGUGGUCUCAGGGUCUAUGUGGUCUCAGGGUCCAUGUGGUCUCAGUGGUCUAUGUGGUCUCAGGGUCUAUGUGGUCUCAGGGUCUAUGUGGUCCAUGUGGUCUCAGGGUGUAUGUGGUCUCAGGGUGUAUGUGGUCUCUGUGGUCUCUGUGGUCUAUGUGGUCUAUGUGGUCUAUGUGGUCUCAGGGUCUAUGUGGUCUCAGGGUCUAUGUGGUCUAUGUGGUCUCAGGGUCCAUGUGGUCUCAGGGUCUAUGUGGUCUCAGGGUCCAUGUGGUCUCAGUGGUCUAUGUGGUCUCAGGGUCUAUGUGGUCUAUGUGGUCUCAGGGUCUAUGUGGUCUCAGGGUCUAUGUGGUCUCAGGGUCCAUGUGGUCUCAGUGGUCUAUGUGGUCUCAGGGUCUAUGUGGUCUAUGUGGUCUCAGGGUCUAUGUGGUCUCAGGGUCUAUGUGGUCUCAGGGUCUAUGUGGUCUAUGUGGUCUCAGGGUCCAUGUGGUCUAUGUGGUCCAUGUGGUCUCAGGGUCUAUGUGGUCUCAGGGUGUAUGUGGUCUCAGGGUGUAUGUGGUCUAUGUGGUCUCAGGGUCUAUGUGGUCUAUGUGGUCUCAGGGUCUAUGUGGUCUUCGUGGUCUAUGUGGUCUCAGGGUCUAUGUGGUCUCAGUGGUCCAUGUGGUCUCAGGGUCUAUGUGGUCUCAGGGUGUCUGUGGUCUAUGUGGUCUAUGUGGUCUCAGGGUGUCUGUGGUCUAUGUGGUCUCAGGGUCUAUGUGGUCUCAGGGUGUCUGUGGUCUAUGUGGUCUCAGGGUCUAUGUGGUCUCAGGGUCUAUGUGGUCUCAGGGUCUAUGUGGUCUAUGUGGUCUAUGUGGUCUCAGGGUCUAUGUGGUCUAUGUGGUCUCAGGGUGUAUGUGGUCUAUGUGGUCUAUGUGGUCUCAGGGUCUAUGUGGUCUCAGGGUGUCUGUGGUCUAUGUGGUCUAUGUGGUCUAUGUGGUCUCAGGGUGUCUGUGGUCUAUGUGGUCUAUGUGGUCUCAGGGUCUAUGUGGUCUCAGGGUCUAUGUGGUCUCAGGGUCUAUGUGGUCUCAGUGGUCUCAGGGUCUAUGUGGUCUCAGGGUGUCUGUGGUCUAUGUGGUCUAUGUGGUCUCAGGGUCUAUGUGGUCUAUGUGGUCUCAGGGUGUAUGUGGUCUAUGUGGUCUAUGUGGUCUCAGGGUCUAUGUGGUCUCAGGGUGUCUGUGGUCUAUGUGGUCUCAGGGUCUAUGUGGUCUAUGUGGUCUAUGUGGUCUCAGGGUCUAUGUGGUCUCAGUGGUCAGGGUUUUUCCUGCAUAGAGAAAAUUUGGGCGCGCGCCUAAGCCGUUUUCCCGAACGCCUAUGACAAAUCCCGAGCGCCUAAGGCAAAAAAAAGUCCUGGUUCAGUUCUCUGUAUUCCCUGUCAUCGUCGGCAGAGGUGAGGCCAACGAUUGCAGAGUCAUCAGAGAACUUUUGCAGGUAGACGUGAUCGGAGUUGUGAUUGAAGUCCGAGGUGUAGAUGGUGAAGAGGAAUGGAGCCAGAACGGUUCCUUGUGGAGCCCCUGUGCUGCAGGAGACCCGGUCUGACUCACAUCCCCCUAUCCUCACAUCCUGUGGACGGUUGGUGAGGUAGUCCAGGAUCCAUGUGGUGAGGUGGUGGUCCACCCCGGACUGCUCCAGCUUGUCCCUCAGAAGCAAAGGCUGGAUGGUGUUGAAGGCACUGGAGAAGUCGAAGAACAUGACUCUCAGUGUUUCCAGCCUUUUCCAGGUGAGAGAGGCAUCGCUGCAGCAGGAAGAUGACGGCGUCAUCCACCCCGAUGCCAGGUUGGUAGGCGAACUGAAGUGGGUCCAGCGAUGAGCUCACCAGGGGGCGAAGCUGGACAAGGACCAACCUCUCCAGGGUCUUCAUCAGGUGUGAUGUUAAUGCCACCGGCCUGAAGCUGUUGAGGUCCUUGGGCCGCGGGGUCUUCGGUACUGGUACCACACAGGAGGUCUUCCACAGCUGUGGUACUUUCCCCAGCCUCAAGCUCCAGUUGAAGACGUGCUCCACUUUCCCGCACAGCUGGUCUGCACAGGAUUUGAGGAGCCUUGAGCUGAUGCCGUCUGGACCCGUGGCCUUCCUCACUUUGAUCCUCCUCAGUUCCCUUCUCACCUGGGAGACCAGAGGCAGGUGGGCGGCGGGACUUUGUCCACGGACGGUUCACGCCGGAUGCUUCGGGCCACACCGGCGGGCGCCGCCUGUCGUCGUUGUCCUCUACGUUCAAUCGGUCGACUGGAUCCUGGCUUUUCAAAUUAAAACAAGUGCAAAGGAAUCAAUGAAGCGGCUUACUGUGUAAUAUCUGACUGCUGUACUUUUGGUAAAUGAGCAGCACAAAAUACUCCAAUGUACAGCCGAGUGUUAAUGGCUCCCUGAGAUCAGAAGGCCAGUCUCAUCUCAAGCAUGUCAUUGUGCCAUUUGUGUUUAAGUCAUUUCCCCGAAAGAGAAAAUGGCUGGUAUUUUACCACCCAUGGUGUGAUUCGGUAGUUUAAUUAACUGUUGCGUCAGAGGCUGAAGUGCAGGCAGGUUGUGCGUUUAAAGAAACCUGGAAUCUUGACCUUAUUAACAUGUGAUCCAACAUUAUUAUGACUAAUAUUAUGUAUUUGUCAAUUGUCAACUCUUGAUUUAUGAUUAUUUAUUGGUCAACUCUUUGAAUUAAUUAUUAUUAACUCUGAUUUAUUCUUAUUUAUAUAUAUAUAUACACUCUUAAUUCGUUAUUAUUAUAUUUGUAUUAUUACGUAUAUGUCAAUUGUUUUCAUGCAAACUGUCGCUGGGCGUCAAGGAAAGAAGAAAUAGAAGGAUAAAUUAACCUUUUGUGCCAUCUUUAAUUGUCCCGACACACUAGUGUAGUGGAAUAAAACACUCGGCACUUGGCGGGGGCAAGACGUGGAUAGUGGGAAUUCACUGACAGCCAAUGAAAUUGCAGUAUUAUCUACGCUGUCCAAUGUCCUGAAAAGCCACGUUUGGACGCUGUUUAUCAAGAAAAGUGUUUCCUACUUUGCUAUUUUUGGAGUGUCACUUUAUCCCAGUGGCAGACAGAUUAUAUCAGUACUUGACUUAUUUAUAACCUAUAUGUAACAUAUUACAUUUUUCUUCUCAUAAACAUUUGAAUUGCAAUUACUUAAAUUAAAUAUGUCUUUACUGUUCACUAUAAUGAUUCAUAUAUUAAUGACACAUGGAGACAUUAGUCCAUGAAAUAUAUUUAUUCACAACAGGGACAGUAAAUAUUGAACACACAGCCCAUAGUGCAAGGUCACACAAACAGUAAAACAAAUGUAAUUUAUAUAAUAAAAGAAUGUAAUUAUUAAAAUAAGAAAAGAUAUAUACAUGACACAACACUGCUCAUCUCUCUUAUUUGCUCUUGUAAACGGCCCAUCUGUUUUUCCCGUCUCAUAGAAGGCAGACGCCUGGAACUCUCUCCACGUCAUCUCCUUCUCCAUGCCUUGGUCUCUGUACAGGGAAAGUACUUUGGCAGGACAAUAAACGUACUUCCCUGCUACCCCAGGGAACCCGGUGUGAAUGUGAGGGCUGUUUGGGCCCUGCUUCAGUCCCAUCCCACAGAAGCAACCCAUAGCUUCCAGCUCGUCUUCAUCAGAUCCUCUGCUGCUGUGAACAGGUCCACUGGCUGACGUCAUGGUGGCAGCCAGGAAGCUGUGGAGGAGGACCGGUGGGGACGGCUAUUGGCCUGGGGAAUGGCUCACCUGGUCAGAUGAGAAUAAAGAUGAAAUGAGUAUGAUUUUAGGUGUGACUUUAUUUCAUCUUUUUAAAAUGUACACAAACAAAUAAAAUAAAAGCAUUAAAAUACUGA